UUAAGCGACUAAGCGUACACGGUGGAUGCCCUGGCAGUCAGAGGCGAUGAAGGACGUGCUAAUCUGCGAAAAGCGUCGGUAAGGUGAUAUGAACCGUUACAGCCGGCGAUGUCCGAAUGGGGAAACCCAGUGUGAUUCGUCACACUAUCGUUAACUGAAUACAUAGGUUAACGAGGCGAACCGGGGGAACUGAAACAUCUAAGUACCCCGAGGAAAAGAAAUCAACCGAGAUUCCCCCAGUAGCGGCGAGCGAACGGGGAGCAGCCCAGAGUCUGAAUCAGCUUGUGUGUUAGUGGAACGGUCUGGAAAGUCCGACGGUACAGGGUGAUAGUCCCGUACACCAAAAUGCACAGGCUGUGAACUCGAAGAGUAGGGCGGGACACGUGGUAUCCUGUCUGAAUAUGGGGGGACCAUCCUCCAAGGCUAAAUACUCCUGACUGACCGAUAGUGAACCAGUACCGUGAGGGAAAGGCGAAAAGAACCCCGGCGAGGGGAGUGAAAAAGAACCUGAAACCGUGUACGUACAAGCAGUGGGAGCACCUUCGGGUGUGACUGCGUACCUUUUGUAUAAUGGGUCAGCGACUUAUAUUCUGUAGCAAGGUUAACCGUAUAGGGGAGCCGCAGGGAAACCGAGUCUUAACUGGGCGUUAAGUUGCAGGGUAUAGACCCGAAACCCGGUGAUCUAGCCAUGGGCAGGUUGAAGGUUGGGUAACACUAACUGGAGGACCGAACCGACUAAUGUUGAAAAAUUAGCGGAUGACUUGUGGCUGGGGGUGAAAGGCCAAUCAAACCGGGAGAUAGCUGGUUCUCCCCGAAAGCUAUUUAGGUAGCGCCUCGUGAACUCAUCUUCGGGGGUAGAGCACUGUUUCGGCUAGGGGGUCAUCCCGACUUACCAACCCGAUGCAAACUACGAAUACCGAAGAAUGUUAUCACGGGAGACACACGGCGGGUGCUAACGUCCGUCGUGAAGAGGGAAACAACCCAGACCGCCAGCUAAGGUCCCAAAGUCACAGUUAAGUGGGAAACGAUGUGGGAAGGCACAGACAGCCAGGAUGUUGGCUUAGAAGCAGCCAUCAUUUAAAGAAAGCGUAAUAGCUCACUGGUCGAGUCGGCCUGCGCGGAAGAUGUAACGGGGCUAAACUGUGCACCGAAGCUGCGGCAGCGACACUAUGUGUUGUUGGGUAGGGGAGCGUUCUGUAAGCCUGCGAAGGUGGCCUGUGAGGGUUGCUGGAGGUAUCAGAAGUGCGAAUGCUGACAUAAGUAACGAUAAUGCGGGUGAAAAGCCCGCACGCCGGAAGACCAAGGGUUCCUGUCCAACGUUAAUCGGGGCAGGGUGAGUCGACCCCUAAGGCGAGGCCGAAAGGCGUAGUCGAUGGGAAACAGGUUAAUAUUCCUGUACUUGGUGUUACUGCGAAGGGGGGACGGAGAAGGCUAUGUUAGCCGGGCGACGGUUGUCCCGGUUUAAGCAUGUAGGCGGAGGUUCCAGGUAAAUCCGGUACCUUUUUAACGCUGAGGUGUGAUGACGAGGCACUACGGUGCUGAAGUAACAAAUGCCCUGCUUCCAGGAAAAGCCUCUAAGCAUCAGGUAACAUUAAAUCGUACCCCAAACCGACACAGGUGGUCAGGUAGAGAAUACCAAGGCGCUUGAGAGAACUCGGGUGAAGGAACUAGGCAAAAUGGUGCCGUAACUUCGGGAGAAGGCACGCUGAUAUGUAGGUGAAGCCCCUGCGGGUGGAGCUGAAAUCAGUCGAAGAUACCAGCUGGCUGCAACUGUUUAUUAAAAACACAGCACUGUGCAAACACGAAAGUGGACGUAUACGGUGUGACGCCUGCCCGGUGCCGGAAGGUUAAUUGAUGGGGUUAUCCGUAAGGAGAAGCUCUUGAUCGAAGCCCCGGUAAACGGCGGCCGUAACUAUAACGGUCCUAAGGUAGCGAAAUUCCUUGUCGGGUAAGUUCCGACCUGCACGAAUGGCGUAAUGAUGGCCAGGCUGUCUCCACCCGAGACUCAGUGAAAUUGAACUCGCUGUGAAGAUGCAGUGUACCCGCGGCAAGACGGAAAGACCCCGUGAACCUUUACUAUAGCUUGACACUGAACAUUGAGCCUUGAUGUGUAGGAUAGGUGGGAGGCUUUGAAGCGUGGACGCCAGUCUGCGUGGAGCCAACCUUGAAAUACCACCCUUUAAUGUUUGAUGUUCUAACGUUGGCCCCUUAUCGGGGUUGCGGACAGUGUCUGGUGGGUAGUUUGACUGGGGCGGUCUCCUCCCAAAGAGUAACGGAGGAGCACGAAGGUUAGCUAAUCCUGGUCGGACAUCAGGAGGUUAGUGCAAUGGCAUAAGCUAGCUUGACUGCGAGCGUGACGGCGCGAGCAGGUGCGAAAGCAGGUCAUAGUGAUCCGGUGGUUCUGAAUGGAAGGGCCAUCGCUCAACGGAUAAAAGGUACUCCGGGGAUAACAGGCUGAUACCGCCCAAGAGUUCAUAUCGACGGCGGUGUUUGGCACCUCGAUGUCGGCUCAUCACAUCCUGGGGCUGAAGUAGGUCCCAAGGGUAUGGCUGUUCGCCAUUUAAAGUGGUACGCGAGCUGGGUUUAGAACGUCGUGAGACAGUUCGGUCCCUAUCUGCCGUGGGCGCUGGAGAAUUGAGGGGGGCUGCUCCUAGUACGAGAGGACCGGAGUGGACGCAUCACUGGUGUUCGGGUUGUCAUGCCAAUGGCAUUGCCCGGUAGCUAAAUGCGGAAGAGAUAAGUGCUGAAAGCAUCUAAGCACGAAACUUGCCCCGAGAUGAGUUCUCCCUGAGACUUAAAGUCUCCUGAAGGAACGUUAAAGACGAUGACGUUGAUAGGUCGGGUGUGUAAGCGUAGCGAUACGUUGAGCUAACCGAUACUAAUGAACCGUGAGGCUUAACCUU
Molecule: ribosomal RNA, 2903 nt
Filed under: Klebsiella aerogenes UCI 47
Lineage: Bacteria; Pseudomonadati; Pseudomonadota; Gammaproteobacteria; Enterobacterales; Enterobacteriaceae
Also listed under: 1 other name
Description: bacterial LSU rRNA
Rfam family: Bacterial large subunit ribosomal RNA
Source: RNAcentral